GUAAUCACUUGUCUUCUAAAUAAAGACCAGUAUGAAUGGCUAAAUGAGGACAAACCUGUCUCCUGCACCCAAUCAGUGAAACUGAUCUUCCAGUACAAAAGCCGGAAUAACCCCAUAAGACGAGAAGACCCUGUGGAGCUUAAAAUUUAUAACUACCGAAUUAAAUUAGUACAAAUUUUAAGUUGGGGCGACUUCGGAAUCAAGCAGCACUUCCGAGCAAGGAGCUACCCCCUCCUACAAGGCCUACAAGCCUAUACAGCCGACCCAGUCACACUGACCAACGAACCAAGUUACCCCAGGGAUAACAGCGCAAUCCCCCUCAAGAGUCCAUAUCGACAGGGGGGUUUACGACCUCGAUGUUGGAUCAGGACACCCCAAUGGUGCAGCCGCUAUUAAAGGUUCGUUUGUUCAACGAUUAACAGU
Molecule: ribosomal RNA, 423 nt
Filed under: Ablepharus himalayanus (Himalaya ground skink)
Lineage: Eukaryota; Metazoa; Chordata; Lepidosauria; Squamata; Scincidae
Description: partial 16S ribosomal RNA
Rfam family: Bacterial large subunit ribosomal RNA
Source: RNAcentral